UGCAAAUGGAACUGCUGGGAAAGAUUUGGUUUUGGGAAUCACGAUCUCCAGUUUCAUGAAAGAUAACUUCUGGCAAGAGAUGGGCUGCAUCUCAUAGCAGUUGGGCAGAAUCGAUUUGUUCCAAGUUGCAAAACCACAGAUCAGGAGGGCUUCAAAUUGAAUCUGAGGCUCCUGUCUUUUCCUUUUGUUUUUUUCCAGACCCUAGCAAGAUACUUCAGCACCUACUGAGAAACCAGGAGCACAGACCAUGGUUAUCCCUGGCAAUUCAUGGCACUUGGAGAAAGUGCACAGUGGACCCCAUCCCCAGCAAACACGGAGAGGCUGACAGUAAAGAUGCAGGACUUCUGUCAACCUUAAUAGAACACAUUAUUUUCAUUGGGUCCUUCCAAUGACUGUAAGACAAGUAUACAAAGUACUAAUUUGAAAGCUUCAUUGUGCUCCUAUAUGCAAACCAAUUUCAUCAAACAUCUAAUGGGGCUAACCAACAGGUGUAACCAACAAAGGGAAAAGGUUUGUGUGAGCUGAUUCAAAUAGGGUAACACUACUUUGCUGAUGUUGCAUGCCUUCAAGUUUUUUUCUGUUUCUAGGUGAUCCUAUUAUAGGCUUUUUCGGGCAAGAUUUGUUCAGAUGGGGUUUGCCCUUGCCUUGCUCUGAGGCUGAGAGAGUGUAUGUUGCAGAAGUUCACCAAGUGGGUUUCCAUGUUUCCAUGGCCGAGCUGGGAUUCUACCUCUGGUCUUGAGAGUCCAAGUCCAAUGCUCUGACCACUGCAAUAUGCUGGUGCUUUGUGCAGCUCUAAUUACCAUGUAAUUAAUUUUCAUUUAUGAACUCAAGGUAAGAGGAAAUAGAAAUGUCUUCUGCCUGGCCAUUUCUGUUGUGUUCUUUACCCAUGAUUCCUUUGUGCCUAGCUCUGCAGUUCCUUUUAAACCAAAAGCUGAUACAAACAUCAGGUAUGGGAAGCUUUUCCAUAAAAAAUAUCUCCACAGACCACUAGACAGUGAUACUAGUAACAUCUGGCUAGAGAGCAAUAACCUGAAAGACAGCCAAUAAAUAAAUAAGGAUUGCAUUCAGAGUUUAGCUUCUCACUCCUGUAACUACCAGCCAGUACAAAGUUCACUGGAAGGUGAGCCCAAUCUGAGUAAUGCUUAUUGUUUGCCUGUGACUGCUUAGGUGGAACUGGUUUGUAUAUCCUGUACAUGCAUGGUUUAGAGAAAGGCAUGGAUACAUUUGAGACUUGACCAUAUUCGGUCAUAAUUUGGCUGGCUGGAUAAAGAGAGCCCAAGUGUUAAAAUGCUAACGGAUCUCAGGUGGUGGAAUUUUCUCUUUCCUGUUAGUUAAUUUGGCCCCUCUCUGUAGUUUUUCAUUGCUAAACAAAGGGCUUGCCUACUCUGUGGAAAAAAUCUUCUAUUUCACACUGCAUUUUCCUGAUCUGUAUUGACCUCAAAAUGGCCUUCUUAAUGCCACACAUAUUGUGGUAAGAUCGCCAUAACUGGUCGCAUGUUUUCCCCGGCAAACUCACCUCAGUGCAAAGUGGUGAUCAACAAUAUUCAGUCCUUCACAUUAGUUUUGACCACAUGGCUGUGGCUACUCUCCAUCAUGCAUGUGAAUAUAUGGUGUGAUUUCAGCUCCAUUGAAUCGUUGAUUCGAAAACCCGACAUGCCCCAGCUACUUACAGAAGACCAAAUCAGGACACAAGCAGAUAGAAGGCAAAAGCAGAGGUCUUUAAUUCUCAGUGACCAAAGAGGAUAUCAGCAGAGCUAGCGCUCAAAGUACUAAAAUACCCCAACUGUGACACCUGAGUCAUUUAUAAUAAUACAAAAUAACUAAAAAAUUGCUGUGCUGGCUUCCCAUUUGUCUUGUAAAGUGCUGGCUAAGAUUCUCACUUUCACUGGAAAAGGCAUGCGUCUGCUUCUGCCUCCCAGAGCCAACCAGAGGUGAAGAGGGAAAUUUAAUAAAUUGUUAUUGCUCAGUUUAGUUUUUUGUCUGUUGUGGGUCCUUCCCAAAAAUUGGGUGCCUUGGACUGGAAUGCAGUUUGAUGAGUGGUUGGUGGGUCCUGAUGGUCCAAUGCCAGCUAGACAAAGUGCAGUGAAUUCGAAGAGGCACAAAUGGAGGGCAAAAGGGAGAAACGUGCCAAGAGGAAGGUGCAUCAAGCCAACCGGGACCGGGACCACCUUCCAUCUGGAAUCUGAUGCCCUCACUGUGGAAGAACACGCGGGUCAAGAAUAGGACUCCACAGUCACCUACGUACCCACCACCAAGACACUACACUUGGAAAACCAUUAUACUCGGACAACGAGGGAUUGCCUAAGUAAGUAAGUAGGACAAAGGAGGUGCUGGUUGAUGGGCAAAAGGUGCAGUUACAUACAAUGGAGGAUUCCUUGAAGGGGUCCGGAUAGGUGCUAUAGAUGAAUCAGGUUCCCAGGUAGAGGACAAAAGAGGGAAUUGGGCAUCUUCUAUAACCUCUGGUUUGCUCCAUUGUUAGGUGUGUGGGGGCAUUGUUAGAUGAUUAUGGUGAUCUAGGGCAUUGUUCCUUGGAGUUCAAGGUGUGAUGAAGCAACAUUCUAAUGAAAUU
Anolis carolinensis (green anole) is the source of this 2569-nucleotide long non-coding RNA. RefSeq lists it as uncharacterized. The transcript is spliced from 2 exons. The record is from RefSeq and is a predicted model, not a curated record. Lineage: Eukaryota; Metazoa; Chordata; Lepidosauria; Squamata; Anolidae.